GACGAACGCUGGCGGCGUGCCUAAUACAUGCAAGUAGAACGCUGAAGAGAGGAGCUUGCUCUUCUUGGAUGAGUUGCGAACGGGUGAGUAACGCGUAGGUAACCUGCCUGGUAGCGGGGGAUAACUAUUGGAAACGAUAGCUAAUACCGCAUAAUAGUAGAUGUUGCAUGACAUUUGCUUAAAAGGUGCAAUUGCAUCACUACCAGAUGGACCUGCGUUGUAUUAGCUAGUUGGUGAGGUAACGGCUCACCAAGGCAACGAUACAUAGCCGACCUGAGAGGGUGAUCGGCCACACUGGGACUGAGACACGGCCCAGACUCCUACGGGAGGCAGCAGUAGGGAAUCUUCGGCAAUGGACGGAAGUCUGACCGAGCAACGCCGCGUGAGUGAAGAAGGUUUUCGGAUCGUAAAGCUCUGUUGUAAGAGAAGAACGAGUGUGAGAGGGAAAGUUCACA
RNAcentral lists this ribosomal RNA (455 nucleotides) under Streptococcus sp. oral taxon 064. RNAcentral describes it as "bacterial SSU rRNA". It matches the Rfam family "Bacterial small subunit ribosomal RNA", at positions 28 to 468 of the family's 1533-position model. The record is from RNAcentral. Lineage: Bacteria; Bacillati; Bacillota; Bacilli; Lactobacillales; Streptococcaceae.